GGUAAAACCGCAUCUGGUGAAGGUAGGAAGGGCGCACGGUGGAUGCCUAGGCGCCAGGAGCCGAGGAA
RNAcentral lists this ribosomal RNA (68 nucleotides) under Paenalicyclobacillus herbarius. Its description in RNAcentral is "Alicyclobacillus herbarius partial 23S ribosomal RNA". The record is from RNAcentral. Lineage: Bacteria; Bacillati; Bacillota; Bacilli; Caryophanales; Alicyclobacillaceae.